Molecule: transfer RNA, 72 nt
Filed under: Camelus bactrianus (Bactrian camel)
Lineage: Eukaryota; Metazoa; Chordata; Mammalia; Artiodactyla; Camelidae
Also listed under: 1 other name
Rfam family: tRNA
About the family: Transfer RNA (tRNA) molecules are approximately 80 nucleotides in length. Their secondary structure includes four short double-helical elements and three loops (D, anti-codon, and T loops).
Source: Rfam by way of RNAcentral
GAAGGUGGAGCUCAGUGGCAGAGCACAUGCUUAGCAUGCACGGGGUCCUGGGUUCGAUCCCCAGUACCUCCA